CGGAGGGUGCAAGCGUUAUCCGGAUUCACUGGGUUUAAAGGGUGCGUAGGUGGGCAAGUAAGUCAGUGGUGAAAUCUCCGGGCUUAACCCGGAAACUGCCAUUGAUACUAUUUGUCUUGAAUACUGUGGAGGUCAGCGGAAUAUGUCAUGUAGCGGUGAAAUGCUUAGAUAUGACAUAGAACACCAAUUGCGAAGGCAGCUGGCUACACAAAUAUUGACACUGAGGCACGAAAGCGUGGGGAUCAAACAGGAUUAGAUACCCUGGUAGUCCACGCCCUAAACUAUGGAUACUCGACAUUUGCGAUAAACUGCAAGUGUCUGAGCGAAAGCAUUAGGUAUCCCACCUGGGAAGUACGAUCGCAAGAUUG
RNAcentral lists this ribosomal RNA (368 nucleotides) under uncultured organism. Its description in RNAcentral is "bacterial SSU rRNA". It matches the Rfam family "Bacterial small subunit ribosomal RNA", at positions 526 to 896 of the family's 1533-position model. The record is from RNAcentral.